ACUCGUCGAUAUAAUACAUAAACGUUGUAGAAAAACCGGCACGGCAUAUUGUUGAAAGACCAUCGUCGACGAACCAAAGUUAACCAAAGUCAACCAUGAAACAGACCACGGUGUUACUGGUUUUUACCCUCGCAAUCUUUGCGUCGGUUUUACCCGCCACCGUCAGCGGCGGAUCAUGCAAAAGCAGUUCAAAGGAUUCGAGUCAGUCAAGUUCUGAAAACCAUUCAAGCUCCGAUGAUUCAUCCACCACUAUCGAUUCAACUUCGAGUGAAGAUUCAAAAUCCGGUAGCGAUUCAAGUUCUGGAGAUGAUUCAAAAUCCGGUAGCGAUUCAAGUUCCGAAGAUGAUUCAAAAUCCACUACCAAAUAAACUUCCGAUGGCUCUUCUGGUCUGCUUUCUACACUAGUGAAGGACACCGAGUCGGGGUUGGAAUCCAUUUUAAAGUGAAAGAUUGAAAAGAAAUCUCGCAACGAAAACUCGGUGAUGUCUCAUUUUGAUACUUAAUUUAUAACGUCCACCGACAUCUCCAUAAGAUUGUUUCAUCAAAAAUUAUAAUUACACGAAUCUCUUUGUGGAGCUGCAAUUCAAAGGCCCAAUAACAGUAUGUAUAAUUUAUUCGCGUCUACACGCUACAUGGUAAAUGAAAUUUUGCUGGUGUAAUAAAUUGAUCUGACAUAGUUAUCCUAUCCGAAAAGUGUUGGACCUACUUGAAACUAACUAGCUUUAAGUAACUCUGCACUUAGAACCCGUUUUCCGGCAAGGUCGAUUCUCGAUUAGGUUAGAAUAUACAUGAAUUUAGAAUAAUUCCUUCACAUAAACAAUACGUGCCUACUCUGUAUCCUACAUAUAUCGACGUCUUGCGUAUGAAAUAGAAUUGCGGUUACAUGAAAAA
Molecule: long non-coding RNA, 891 nt
Filed under: Neodiprion pinetum (white pine sawfly)
Lineage: Eukaryota; Metazoa; Arthropoda; Insecta; Hymenoptera; Diprionidae
Description: uncharacterized LOC124215741
Source: RNAcentral